CUACCAUGCAGUCGACGAUGAGCCCUUCGGGGUGGAUUAGUGGCGAACGGGUGAGUAACACGUGGGCAAUCUGCCCUUCACUCUGGGACAAGCCCUGGAAACGGGGUCUAAUACCGGAUAACACUCUGUCCUGCAUGGGACGGGGUUGAAAGCUCCGGCGGUGAAGGAUGAGCCCGCGGCCUAUCAGCUUGUUGGUGGGGUAAUGGCCUACCAAGGCGACGACGGGUAGCCGGCCUGAGAGGGCGACCGGCCACACUGGGACUGAGACACGGCCCAGACUCCUACGGGAGGCAGCAGUGGGGAAUAUUGCACAAUGGGCGAAAGCCUGAUGCAGCGACGCCGCGUGAGGGAUGACGGCCUUCGGGUUGUAAACCUCUUUCAGCAGGGAAGAAGCGCAAGUGACGGUACCUGCAGAAGAAGCGCCGGCUAACUACGUGCCAGCAGCCGCGGUAAUACGUAGGGCGCAAGCGUUGUCCGGAAUUAUUGGGCGUAAAGAGCUCGUAGGCGGCUUGUCACGUCGGAUGUGAAAGCCCGGGGCUUAACCCCGGGUCUGCAUUCGAUACGGGCUAGCUAGAGUGUGGUAGGGGAGAUCGGAAUUCCUGGUGUAGCGGUGAAAUGCGCAGAUAUCAGGAGGAACACCGGUGGCGAAGGCGGAUCUCUGGGCCAUUACUGACGCUGAGGAGCGAAAGCGUGGGGAGCGAACAGGAUUAGAUACCCUGGUAGUCCACGCCGUAAACGUUGGGAACUAGGUGUUGGCGACAUUCCACGUCGUCGGUGCCGCAGCUAACGCAUUAA
This 795-nucleotide ribosomal RNA is filed under the name Streptomyces californicus. Its description in RNAcentral is "bacterial SSU rRNA". It matches the Rfam family "Bacterial small subunit ribosomal RNA", at positions 49 to 863 of the family's 1533-position model. The record is from RNAcentral. Lineage: Bacteria; Bacillati; Actinomycetota; Actinomycetes; Kitasatosporales; Streptomycetaceae.